UUUAGCAGGACAUUUUGGACAGAAUACAACACUAGAAGAACUUUUUUUUUUUAUUGUCUCUCUAUUGCACCAAAAUCUGUAGAGCUGUGUGUAUGAAAUCUCAAUACACAUUCAUUAUAUUUCACAGCUUCCAGAGCCCGAGCAAUACUAUGGAAGAGGAGAGCACACAAUCUGCAAGCCAGAGCCAUCUUGUUGGAUGGACUGAUUACAGAAUCUCUGUGGUUUCUGGAGAAACGUACAGGGUCCGGAAGACGCGCUUCAACAUUCUAUCGCUCUAUGACUGCGAGAGCUAAGUUACUUCUACAAGCAACCAAAAUUCUGGUCGACAAUGUCUACUCUGAUGCAAAGUUGAUUGAGAAAUGAUUCAUGUUUGAUCUGUCUCUUAUAACUCUGUGAAAUAUGGAUGACCGAGAAGGUAGAGUUGAAUUCAAUGAAGCUUUUCAAAAUCC
This is a long non-coding RNA of Poecilia latipinna (sailfin molly), 449 nucleotides long. RefSeq lists it as uncharacterized. The record is from RefSeq and is a predicted model, not a curated record. Lineage: Eukaryota; Metazoa; Chordata; Actinopteri; Cyprinodontiformes; Poeciliidae. The transcript has 2 exons.